UACAGGGGUCUCGAGCGUUAAUCGGAAUCACUGGGCUUAAAGGGUGCGUAGGCUGGCCCGUAAGUGCUUUGUGAAAUCCCACGGCUCAACCGUGGAAUUGCAGGGCAUACUGCGGGUCUUGAGGAAGGUAGAGGUCGACGGAACGAUAGGUGGAGCGGUGGAAUGCAUAGAGAUCUAUCGGAACGCCAAAAGUGAAGACAGUCGACUGGGCCUUUCCUGACGCUGAGGCACGAAAGCGUGGGUAGCAAACCGG
RNAcentral lists this ribosomal RNA (253 nucleotides) under uncultured bacterium. RNAcentral's name for it is "partial 16S ribosomal RNA". It matches the Rfam family "Bacterial small subunit ribosomal RNA", at positions 524 to 776 of the family's 1533-position model. The record is from RNAcentral.